GGACUGUCCUGCAGGGUGAUGGAUGUGGGGGCUGGUGUGACUAGAACAAGUGGCAAAUGUGGGUGCCCAGCACACACUUGCAACUCGGGCUCAAAACCCUAACCCUGAGGUCCAAACGCUGGGCUCGGACUUUGUGUCAUCAGAGGCACCUCAGAAAGCUGUUUGGUCACCUCUCACUUGACUUCAGUGCCUCUU
Ceratotherium simum simum (southern white rhinoceros) is the source of this 195-nucleotide non-coding RNA. The record is from RefSeq and is a predicted model, not a curated record. Lineage: Eukaryota; Metazoa; Chordata; Mammalia; Perissodactyla; Rhinocerotidae.